AUGGUGUCCCACAAGUAUCUGCUGCCUGGUUUUGCUCUUUGCUUCUUAGUAGAUGAGCUGUAUGCAUUCCUGCUACCAGACAGACUGCGGUUGGCCAGAAACACUCACAGACUCAGCCGGGACGUGUCUCCUCACCUCUCUGAACUCACUGACCUGGCUGAGUUCAUGCCAGACAAUGGUGGUGAAAUGACACAGGACUGGGACCCCAAACCUGCGAAAUCCUUCACUGCCCACACUUCACCUGUAGAACACAUUCCACCACCCCCGAAACCUCAACACCGCAACAACAAAGACAAGAGCAGGGCGAGGGUUACUGUUCCCCUUGACCGCAUUGGUAACUCCUACCUGUCCAGCAGAAACAGAAAGGAGGAACCUGAGGAAAACCUGGCCUAUUUUAACGAGUGAUUAACUACUGACGUCCAUACAUCAACUGGAUUUACAGACGCAGACAAAGCCUAGUCUUGAACUAACUAACAGCACCAGUGGGAAUUUUCAGUUAAAAAGUCUUUAAGUGCCUAUUAGGCUAAACUUGUAUCCAGAAAACAAACUGUAUGUAGCAUUGCGAGUGUGUAUUUUGUGAGUGUUUUAACCUGUUAUUUUGUUGUAUGCAUCAUUGUCUUAUUUAUUACUAUUUAAUAUCGCCCUCUAGUGGUCGGCAAACUGACAGACACUUGUGUACUCGUGUGCCCAUGCUAAAUAAAGAGUUUUUGAAAGCAGAACA
Molecule: long non-coding RNA, 721 nt
Filed under: Astyanax mexicanus (Mexican tetra)
Lineage: Eukaryota; Metazoa; Chordata; Actinopteri; Characiformes; Acestrorhamphidae
Description: lncRNA (ENSAMXG00005021010.1)
Source: RNAcentral